Molecule: transfer RNA, 64 nt
Filed under: Eriopis connexa
Lineage: Eukaryota; Metazoa; Arthropoda; Insecta; Coleoptera; Coccinellidae
Description: tRNA-His
Source: RNAcentral
AUUUAGAUAGUUUAAUUUAAAAUAUUGAUUUGUGGAAUCAAAGAUAUUAGUAAAAUUCUAAAUA